RNAcentral lists this small RNA (30 nucleotides) under Bombyx mori (domestic silkworm). RNAcentral describes it as "ovarian small RNA-21032". The record is from RNAcentral. Lineage: Eukaryota; Metazoa; Arthropoda; Insecta; Lepidoptera; Bombycidae.
UACGAUAUUUAGGUGCUUGCGCGCCAUGGU